UUUGGUCAAUGUUUGUUCAUUAAUACAUACUAUUUCAUUUAAUGCACUUUAUUUCUUCAUGUUCUUCUUCUUCUUCUUCUUCUUCUUUCUUCUUUUUUGAUCAAUGAGUUAAGGAUUGGUGGUUAGCAUUGAUUAGGGAGGUUUAAUCUUCCUUGAUUCAAAUCUAAUUCAUCUUGAUCAUGGAUCAAGUGAAUGGCUUUGCAUUAAGGAUAAAUUGCUUUCUAAAUCAUGCAAAAUAACCUAAAUCAAUACAAGAUCAUUUAUCAUCUUCUUUUUGGCAU
This 281-nucleotide long non-coding RNA is filed under the name Lathyrus oleraceus (garden pea). RNAcentral describes it as "Pisum sativum (pea) long non-coding RNA (PSAT_LNC004896)". Lineage: Eukaryota; Viridiplantae; Streptophyta; Magnoliopsida; Fabales; Fabaceae. The record is from RNAcentral.